Prinia subflava (tawny-flanked prinia) is the source of this 2809-nucleotide long non-coding RNA. RefSeq lists it as uncharacterized. The record is from RefSeq and is a predicted model, not a curated record. The transcript is spliced from 3 exons. Lineage: Eukaryota; Metazoa; Chordata; Aves; Passeriformes; Cisticolidae.
UUAAAAAUAUAAUUUCUAGAUUGAGUAAUGUAUAGGGGGAGGAAAGUAGAGAACGUACAACUGGAACUUGACGCAGCUAGCUGGGAACAAGCGUCAGUUUCGGUAAACAGCUCCAUGCUAUUGUUUUAACCAAAUCAAGUGUGGAUCAGGGUAGAAGCGUAGGUAUGAUUUAAGAUAGUAACUAAGGAAUAGGAUAAUCAGUAUCUAGGGGUGGGGGUUAGUUAACAUGUGUAUAAUUUAAACUAUAAAAAUCACGAAUCGACUCUGUAUGCUUUGGACAUCAGAUUUGGGUGUAUUAUCACCCCGGUGUCCCGCGCGCUGGAAUAAAGAACCGCAUAUGAUCGCCUCUGUGUGGUUAUAUGUUUUCCUACGCUAACACACAGAGUCUGCCAACAGCCUGGGGAGACCUCCCCGGGCUCCAGCCUAAGGAGUCAGGGUGCAUCUGGAAAACUGCCUCAUCCCCAAAGAGCAGUUCUCUGGGAUGGGAAAGGACUGACCCAAGUCUUCUGGUAAAACCUGGUGGAGUUGGGGCCUGCAGUCUGUGCUCCUGCAGCUGUGGGACACCAGGUGCUGCAGGUGGUGGUGGUGGAGCUGAUUGUGGAGGUGGAGGUGAUCUCCAGGGUGAGGGUGGCUGUGCUGGGAGCUCUGUGGGUCACUGGGUUGUGUGGGGAGCCUGAGCCUGCACAGGGAACUGUGAGGAUUUGCAGAGCCUUUGGAUCCUUGCUGGUGCAUCCUGACAAAGUGUGGUGUUUCCUCAUUACCAUCAAGAAAGAAGAAGUUGAUCAUCUAUGAAUAACUAAUUUACACUGUAAUCACAAAGCUGCAGCAGAUUGCAAAUCGUGAUUCAACAACCUAAAGGUACCCAUAGGUCUCAGCAGUUUGGAUGGCCCAAAUCUUGCCCAUAAACUCAAGCCAGAAUGAAUCAAAGAGCAACUCAGCAAUCUGUGUGGGAUAAUCAAGACUUGGCCGGGUGUUCAAUACAGGGAUGAAGAAUUUUAUGUCUUCCCUUUAUAAUUGGCAUGCAUUUCCUUGGGCUUGACCGAAAAAGAGGAAAAAGCCUUCUGAAGCCACUAAAUCAUGUAACUCGAAGAAAAGGAAGCUCCACAGGAACUGGACAUGAAGAAAAAAACCCAAAACCCAGCACAUUUACUUUACGUAGGAUAAAAGAUGGUUGUGCUUUCAGGCGUAAGAUAUCCAGUCAGUGGUAAGGCUUAGAAAGACACAUUUUUGUUGUUCAAAUAUGGUCACUGCAGCCUGGAUAUAAAGAAGGACCUGACAGUGACCAUUGCCAUCAGCAGGAUGACAAGGAGAUAUUGUGGUCUUUAAGAAGGCCUGAAAAUUAUUAAAGCAUUUGCUCUGUGCUGUUGGCAAACCUACUAUAACCAUGGCAUUAAUUCUAGAUCAGAUUUAACAGUGCCCCUUUACUCCAGUCUGGGCUCUCAGUUCAACCCUGUGAUCCUGAAUAGGAAAGAAAGUAUUAUUUUAUUGGUUGGAAGCUGGAUUCUUUCUCUGGAACACAACCUGGAGGUCAAGAGAAACAGUAACUUGAAUGUUUGUGUGUGACAUAUGCCAGUCAGAGAUUUGGAGUAGUUGCUGACUGCAUUCUGAGAGGGGAGCCUGCGCUGGGUGGGUGGCUGCAGAAAAAGAAGUGGUCUGAUAAAUAGGCUAGCACAGGGUAAAUGGAGAAACACAGAGGUGCAGGCCUGGAGAAAUGCAACAAACUCAUUGUUGUUGUUGUUAAAAAGAUAAUGUUUCUGAGAUUAGAAAUAUGGUGAUAUAUUAAGUGCUUAAUUAAUCAAUUUGAAGAUUUACAACCAGAAAUGUCAUCCCCGGAUAUUUGAAAAUAAAAGCACAUUUCGCAAUCCUAUGAAUUAAGAAUAAAAAAAAUAAAAAACCCAAACAAACCACAAAUGCAGAUAACAUUAGGUGAAGAUAUAGUUUAUGUAUUAUUUAUUUAUAUAUUAUUAUAUUAAAGCAUUUUAAAUGCUUUCCAUAUCAGGUGUGGAUUUCAUUGAAAUGGGAAUAGACUACUGAAUGGCAUUAAGGAACACAGUUCUAUGCAGAAGUUUGGAGUGAAACCACACUGCUGCUAUUUCACUCCCUGUGAGCUGCAUUUUAUCUGAUGUGGUGUUGAUUGUCUUUUCACAUCUUGUGUUAUUAAACUGACAAUUAAACAAAAGUCAGAAAAGCCCAUGAUUCAUAAACUGGUAUGUAUAUUGUAGUAUGUGAAGCGUUUUUCUGGAAAUGUAGGAAAUCAGGGAUAUAAAGCUAAAGUAUCCAUUUAAAUGAGAAAGGAAUAAGUAGAAAUAUUACUCAUUAAAUGCAUUUCAUAAAAGAAAUGUCUCACUAUCCUGUUGUGUGACUCAUGAAGUCACCAUCAACCAACUUGUAACCCGUAAUUAUACAGCAUUUCUCUGCCAGCCUAGGGGUGAAAAAUCCAUAGAUGGAAUUUUAUGAACUCUGAUUCAAGGGCCUGCUAAAGCAUAUUGGACUUUAUGGUCGUGAGUUUGGAAAUAACAUACCAAUUCUCACAACUAAAUAUUUGGAUUUUCAGAUGUGGAUAUUUUCAAGCCAACCUUAGAAACAGCAAGGUCUUCACCUGUUGAUAGUGAGUUGCUUUUAAGCCAGUUUGAUGAUUUCCAAUGUCCAAAAGUAAAUCUAUCAUAGAACAAUUCAGAAAUCCUGUAUCAGAAAGUUAUUGAACAACAGAAUUAUGUGUUUCUUGUGACCAUGAGGUGAUACUAUGCUUAUAAUAAAGAUGUAGUGUAACUACGGGUAUUUUCAUUAUGCACAGGCAUGGCUAAUUUUG